CUGCCUUGGCCACUUUUUCUUACUCUUGUCUAACUUGCUUGUUAAGAGCUUUGAUGGCCUUCUCAUGGAUCUCAUUGGCCUUUAUCGUCUCUGGUAGCCUCAGCCAUAGCUCUUCAUUCUUUUUUAUCCGUUCAUGCAGGUUAAAAAUGUGCAUCUCCUGUUCAUUUACUUUACGCUGAAGGUUCAGGAGACUGAUUUUUUUCCUUCAGCGUAGUAAUCUUCUCAUUGAGUUGAUUUUUGAGUCCUUCUGCAAGCUUGGACUCUUUCUCAGCAAGCUGAGACUUCUCCUCAGCUUUCUCCUUGGCCACCUUUUUCUACUCCUGGAUG
Molecule: long non-coding RNA, 327 nt
Filed under: Elaeis guineensis (African oil palm)
Lineage: Eukaryota; Viridiplantae; Streptophyta; Magnoliopsida; Arecales; Arecaceae
Description: long non-coding RNA (EGUI_LNC049121)
Source: RNAcentral